GACGAACGCUGGCGGCGUGCUUAACACAUGCAAGUCGAACGGAAAGGCCCUGCUUGCAGGGUGCUCGAGUGGCGAACGGGUGAGUAACACGUGGGUGAUCUGCCCCUUACUUUGGGAUAAGCCUGGGAAACUGGGUCUAAUACUGGAUAGGACCAUGCUGUAUGUGGUGUGGUGGAAAGAUUAGUUUCGGUAAGGGAUGAGCUCGCGGCCUAUCAGCUUGUUGGUGGGGUAAUGGCCUACCAAGGCGUCGACGGGUAGCCGGCCUGAGAGGGUGGACGGCCACAUUGGGACUGAGAUACGGCCCAGACUACUGCGGGAGGCAGCAGUGGGGAAUAUUGGACAAUGGGAGCACGCCUGAUGCAACGACGCCGCGUGGGGGAUGACGGCCUUCGGGUUGUAAGCCCCUUUCAGCCAUGACGAAGCCCUUGUGGUGACGGUAGUGGUAGAAGAAGCACCGGCUAACUACGUG
RNAcentral lists this ribosomal RNA (469 nucleotides) under uncultured bacterium. Its description in RNAcentral is "partial 16S ribosomal RNA". It matches the Rfam family "Bacterial small subunit ribosomal RNA", at positions 28 to 507 of the family's 1533-position model. The record is from RNAcentral.